GAUGAACGCUGGCGGCGUGCUUAACACAUGCAAGUCGAGCGAACAGACGCGGAUUUUGUUCCGUUCUCGUUUGGCGCGCACGUGAGUGAAACAUGUGGAUACUCUCCUUAACAGUGUGAGAUCUUCUCGGGACUCGGGCGCUUACCGGGGAUAAUCUCCUGCACCGCAUGGUUCAAUAGAGAAUGUCGGCUUUUCUGUCUCUUCUCGCUGCUUCCGAGCCGCAUUAGCUAGUUGGUAAGUUAACGGCUUAUCACGGCAAGGAUGCGUAGCCGACUUGAGAGGGGGAUCGGCCACACUGGAGCUGAGACACGGUCCAGACUCCUACGGGAGGCAGCAGUAGGGAAUCGUCCGCAAUGGGCGAAAGCCUGACGGAGCAACGCCGCGUGAGUGAUGAAGGUCUUCGGAUCGUAAAACUCUGUUAUUAGGGAAGAACAAAUGUGUAAGUAACUAUGCACGUCUUGACGGUACCUAAUCAGAAAGCCACGGCUAACUACGUG
Molecule: ribosomal RNA, 497 nt
Filed under: uncultured bacterium
Lineage: Bacteria
Description: partial 16S ribosomal RNA
Rfam family: Bacterial small subunit ribosomal RNA
Source: RNAcentral